This 238-nucleotide ribosomal RNA is filed under the name uncultured bacterium. RNAcentral describes it as "partial 16S ribosomal RNA". It matches the Rfam family "Bacterial small subunit ribosomal RNA", at positions 100 to 334 of the family's 1533-position model. The record is from RNAcentral.
CGGAACGGGUGAGUAACGCGUGAGGAACCUGCCUCAAAGAGGGGGACAACAGUUGGAAACGACUGCUAAUACCGCAUAAGCCCACGGCUCGGCAUCGAGCAGAGGGAAAAGGAGUGAUCCGCUUUGAGAUGGCCUCGCGUCCGAUUAGCUAGUUGGUGAGGUAACGGCCCACCAAGGCAACGACCGGUAGCCGGACUGAGAGGUUGAACGGCCACAUUGGGACUGAGACACGGCCCAG